RNAcentral lists this ribosomal RNA (595 nucleotides) under Rhodotorula toruloides. RNAcentral describes it as "eukaryotic LSU rRNA". It matches the Rfam family "Eukaryotic large subunit ribosomal RNA", at positions 67 to 669 of the family's 3401-position model. The record is from RNAcentral. Lineage: Eukaryota; Fungi; Basidiomycota; Microbotryomycetes; Sporidiobolales; Sporidiobolaceae.
CAGGGGGGUUCACCGUAGCAGCGGCGAGCGAGGGGGAAGAGCUCAAAUUUGUAAUCUGGCACCUUCGGAGUCCGAGUUGUAAUCUCUAGAAGUGUUUUCCGCGUUGGACCGCACACAAGUCUGUUGGAAUACAGCGGCAUAGUGGUGAUACCCCAUUACACGGGGCGGACGCCCAGCGCUUUGGGAUACACUUUCGACGAGUCGAGUUGUUUGGGAAUGCAGCUCAAAUUGGGGGGAAAAUUCCAUCUAAAGCUAAAUAUUGGCGAGAGACCGAUAGCGAACAAGUACCGUGGGGAAAAGAUGAAAAGCACUUUGGAAAGAGAGUUAAAAGUACGUGAAAUUGUUGGAGGGGAAACGCUUGAAGUCAGACUUGCUUGCCGGGCUUGCUCGGUUUGCAGGCCAGCAUCAGUUUUCUGGGACGGAUAAGGGCAGUAAGAAUGUAGCAGCCUCGGCUGUGUUAUAGCUUCCUGCUGGAUACGCCCGGGGGAACUGAGGAACGCAGCGUGCCGUAUGGCGGGGCGCUUUGGUCCUUUCACGCUUUAGGAUGCUGGUGGAAUGGCUUUAAACGACCCCGUCUUGAAAAAAAAGGGACCAA